GUGAAAAUGGCUGCAAACAGAAGAGCAAUUAUACAGCCAUAGCAGAAGAAGAUCCUGCUGAACAAUCAACAAGAAAGUGGUGUCUGAAUGCUCCUGAGGAAAAUGGUUCUUUCAUCUGACCCGGAUCAAAGCCGAACUCUGACAGAGAACAUGUUUGUCAGAGGAGGAACCUGCACCUGUGGAAAAAAAAAAGAAACUGGAGCCGAACCACAAAGGAUGCAUCAGAACAGACCAACCUGGUUCUGAAGCCCAUUACCAGCCUGUCGUCUACAUUCCUCCAAACGAUGACACCAGAAUCCGACCCUGAUGAUGUGUUAAGUCUCUGACUGGGCUCUAAGUCUGCUUUGAGAGGCACAAAGUUUGGCAUGACCUCCUUCUGACAAACUUCUGGGACCAACUUUAUUCCUCUACACUUUUUGGGUGUCUUAUAGCUUCUCCAUGUGUGGCAGUGGAGUUGAUGAAGCAGCUAAAAAGGCCAGUAACAGGAUGUCAUUUCGGUAUUUCAUGCUUGUACCAUAUUUGACUGUUGGAAUUCUCGGUGAAAGCUUUUUCUUUUUGUGUUCGUCAGCCUAACAGUCUGUAUGUAAUGUGUCCUAAUUUCUGAUUCGAUAUGAAAGAAGGGUUCACAUGUGUGAACAUAUAAAAGCUGUACAAUGUGUAAUUAACAUGACUUAGUGCAUUUUUUUUAAGAGAUGCAUAUAAAUUGAGAGUGAAUCUGAGAAAAGGCUGUACUAUUUUGACAGAUAGAAGCUGUACUGGUGCAAGAUUUUUUUUUUUUCAACUAAAGGUCAGCGCUGACAUUGAAACGCUAACCUUUCAUGAGUGUAUAGGCUGAAAGAUUUAUAAAAGGCAACUAUUUAAAUACAUAUACUGUACCUGCUGAAACAGGAGAAUUAACUGCCUCAAGUCAGGAAGAAGCAAUGGUUGAAAACUUGUUCUGUCUACAAUUAAAGUUUAAGUAUUAAUUGAUGUAUGCUGUCUCAGCUUAUAAAAAACUUUAAAAGAGAUUUUUAUUCUGCCGGCAUAAUUUUAUUUAUUGAUCUAUUAUUUAUGCUUUUCAUUUGUUUUUUAUUGUCUUGUUCAAUCAUUUAAUUACUUCUUGGUUCAGUCUUUCCUUCAGUCAAUCAGUCAUUUGAUUAUUUAUUUAUGAUAGAAAUUUAUUCAAUUAAUGGCUUAUUCAACUGUGUAUUAAUUCAUCGCUUCAAUUGUAUGUAUUUUUUAUUUAUUUAUUUCAUUCAUUCUUCAAUUCAGUUAUGUAGUUAUUUAAUAAUUUAAGUUGUUCCCAGUUUUGCUAAUUGUGUAUUUUUCAUUCAUAUUUGUGAUUGAAUUACUUAUUCAUCAAUUGGUUCACUCAUUUAAUCUAUGUAUUUAGUUUAUUUAUCAAAAACAAUCAUUCAUUCAAGUCUUUAAGCAUUCAGUCAAUGUUUUCUUUAUUUAGAUCUUGACAAUGUAAUGUAAAGAUUCUUAAAUGUGUUAUUAUCUCUGACGAUCUGAUGUGUCGAAGAUUAAAACUGAGUUUCCUUCCAGC
Molecule: long non-coding RNA, 1528 nt
Organism: Gambusia affinis (western mosquitofish)
Lineage: Eukaryota; Metazoa; Chordata; Actinopteri; Cyprinodontiformes; Poeciliidae
Exons: 3
Source: RefSeq, a predicted model, not a curated record